Molecule: ribosomal RNA, 1237 nt
Filed under: facultative barophile CNPT3
Lineage: Bacteria; Pseudomonadati; Pseudomonadota; Gammaproteobacteria
Description: bacterial SSU rRNA
Rfam family: Bacterial small subunit ribosomal RNA
Source: RNAcentral
AAUAUGCCUUAACGUGGGGGACAACAGUUGGAAACGACUGCUAAUACCGCAUAAUGUCUACGGACCAAAGCAGGGGACUUCGGGCCUUGCGCGUUUAGAGUAGCCCAAGUGGGAUUAGCUAGUUGGUAAGGUAAUGGCUUACCAAGGCGACGAUCCCUAGCUGGUCUUAGAGGAUGACCAGCCACACUGGAACUGAGACACGGUCCAGACUCCUACGGGAGGCAGCAGUGGGGAAUAUUGCACAAUGGAGGAAACUCUGAUGCAGCCAUGCCGCGUGUGUGAAGAAGGCUUUCGGGUUGUAAAGCACUUUCAGCGAGGAGGAAAGGGUAGUAGUUAAUAACUGCUAUCUGUGACGUUACUCGCAGAAGAAGCACCGGCUAACUCCGUGCCAGCAGCCGCGGUAAUACGGAGGGUGCGAGCGUUAAUCGGAAUUACUGGGCGUAAAGCGCGCGUAGGUGGUUAAUUAAGUCAGAUGUGAAAGCCCAGGGCUCAACCUUGGAACUGCAUUUGAAACUGGUUGACUAGAGUUUUGUAGAGGGUGGUAGAAUUUCAGGUGUAGCGGUGAAAUGCGUAGAGAUCUGAAGGAAUACCAGUGGCGAAGGCGGCCACCUGGACAAAGACUGACACUGAGGCGCGAAGGCGUGGGGAGCAAACGGGAUUAGAUACCCCGGUAGUCCACGCAGUAAACGAUGUCUAUUAGAAGUUUGUGGCUAUAUGCCGUGGGUUUCAAACGUAACGCAUUAAAUAGACCGCCUGGGGAGUACGGCCGCAAGGUUAAAACGCAAAUGAAUUGACGGGGGCCCGCACAAGCGGUGGAGCAUGUGGUUUAAUUCGAUGCAACGCGAAGAACCUUACCAUCCCUUGACAUCCAGAGAAUCAGCCUAGAGAUAGAUGAGUGCCUNCGGGAACUCUGAGACAGGUGCUGCAUGGCUGUCGUCAGCUCGUGUUGUGAAAUGUUGGGUUAAGUCCCGCAACGAGCGCAACCCUUAUCCUUACUUGCCAGCGGUCACCGGGAACUUUAGGGAGACUGCCGGUGAUAAACCGGAGGAAGGUGGGGACGACGUCAAGUCAUCAUGGCCCUUACGGGAUGGGCUACACACGUGCUACAAUGGCAGAUACAAAGGGUUGCUAACCUGCGAGGGUAUGCGAAUCUCAUAAAGUCUGUCGUAGUCCGGAUCGGAGUCUGCAACUCGACUCCGUGAAGUUGGAAUCGCUAGUAAUCGUGGAUCAGAAUGCC